CAGAGCCGCCGCAGGGCGGGGCCAGCUCCUCCCAGAAGCUGAGGUACGGAUGCCCUGGAGUAGGGGCGUGGUUCUGGCGGCUGCAGGGACCAGGAGGCAACCCCCCAGCCGCCACAGGUCCCAGGAGCCAGACUCCUUCUGCGGCAGGGGCUGGAAGCCCAGGAGUCCCUCUGGACUCGGGCCGGCAUGGUGCUGCCGGGAGAAUGUACUGGUGCAAAAUCCGGACGCGGAGAAGAGGCGGGGGCCCUUCCUUCCUCGUGUGCAGCAGCAGAUGGGCACUCCCGAGGGGCCACAGGACUCCUCAUUCCCCACAAGUCACCAGCCUGGGGGCUGCAGGGCACACUGACCAUAGCAGUGUGUCCUAGUGUCCUGGCUUCUUGGGCUCUGGAAAGCCCAAGAAGUAACCCGGAAGCUAGUGCUGGCACCCUCUCCCCAACGUUCCCAGCUCUGGCUCCCUGAUGAUAAGCUCUAAUGGAC
Molecule: long non-coding RNA, 477 nt
Filed under: Chinchilla lanigera (long-tailed chinchilla)
Lineage: Eukaryota; Metazoa; Chordata; Mammalia; Rodentia; Chinchillidae
Description: lncRNA (ENSCLAG00000023072.1)
Source: RNAcentral